AUUGAACGCUGGCGGCAGGCCUAACACAUGCAAGUCGAACGGUAACAGGAAGAAGCUUGCUUCUUUGCUGACGAGUGGCGGACGGGUGAGUAAUGUCUGGGAAACUGCCUGAUGGAGGGGGAUAACUACUGGAAACGGUAGCUAAUACCGCAUAACGUCGCAAGACCAAAGAGGAGGACCUUCUGGCCUCUUGCCAUCUGAUGUGCCCAGAUGGGAUUAGCUAGUAGGUGGGGUAACGGCUCACCUAGGCGACGAUCCCUAGCUGGUCUGAGAGGAUGACCAGCCACACUGGAACUGAGACACGGUCCAGACUCCUACGGGAGGCAGCAGUGGGGAAUAUUGCACAAUGGGCGCAAGCCUGAUGCAGCCAUGCCGCGUGUAUGAAGAAGGCCUUCGGGUUGUAAAGUACUUUUAGCGGGGAAGAAGGGAGUAAAGUUAAUACCUUUGCGCAUUGACGUUACCCGAAGAAGAAGCACCGGCUAACUCCGUG
RNAcentral lists this ribosomal RNA (490 nucleotides) under uncultured bacterium. RNAcentral describes it as "partial 16S ribosomal RNA". It matches the Rfam family "Bacterial small subunit ribosomal RNA", at positions 30 to 507 of the family's 1533-position model. The record is from RNAcentral.